AUGAACGCUGGCGGCGUGCCUAAUACAUGCAAGUCGAGCGAACAGACGAGGAGCUUGCUCCUCUGACGUUAGCGGCGGACGGGUGAGUAACCCGUGGAUAACCUACCUAUAAGACUGGGAUAACUUCGGGAAACCGGAGCUAAUACCGGAUAAUAUAUUGAACCGCAUGUUUCAAUAGUGAAAGACGGUUUUGCUGUCACUUAUAGAUGGAUCCGCGCCGCAUUAGCUAGUUGGUAAGGUAACGGCUUACCAAGGCGACGAUGCGUAGCCGACCUGAGAGGGUGAUCGGCCACACUGGAACUGAGACACGGUCCAGACUCCUACGGGAGGCAGCAGUAGGGAAUCUUCCGCAAUGGGCGAAAGCCUGACGGAGCAACGCCGCGUGAGUGAUGAAGGUCUUCGGAUCGUAAAACUCUGUUAUUAGGGAAGAACAAAUGUGUAAGUAACUAUGCACGUCUUGACGGUACCUAAUCAGAAAGCCACGGCUAACUACGUG
This 496-nucleotide ribosomal RNA is filed under the name uncultured bacterium. RNAcentral describes it as "partial 16S ribosomal RNA". It matches the Rfam family "Bacterial small subunit ribosomal RNA", at positions 29 to 507 of the family's 1533-position model. The record is from RNAcentral.